This is a non-coding RNA of Aedes aegypti (yellow fever mosquito), 46 nucleotides long. Lineage: Eukaryota; Metazoa; Arthropoda; Insecta; Diptera; Culicidae. The record is from Rfam.
CCAUCGGCCCUUUUCAGGGCCAUCAAAUUAGUGGAAGUUUAUAUAU